Molecule: ribosomal RNA, 270 nt
Filed under: Dendrobaena veneta
Lineage: Eukaryota; Metazoa; Annelida; Clitellata; Crassiclitellata; Lumbricidae
Description: partial 16S ribosomal RNA
Rfam family: Bacterial large subunit ribosomal RNA
Source: RNAcentral
GCUAAUCCCAUUAAAGAGUCCUUAUCUACAAUGGGGUUUGGCACCUCGAUGUUGGCUUAGGGUAUCAGUACGGCGCAAAAGUCCUACAUUGAUGGUUUGUUCAACCAAUAAUCCCCUACAUGAGCUGAGUUCAGACCGGCGUAAGCCAGGUUAGUUUCUAUCCUCAGCUAAAAAUAACUAUUUAUAGUACGAAAGGACCUAAAUAAGUGUAAUAAUUACAUCACAUGAAUAUUAUAAUAUAAAUUAAAUAAAUAAUAUAUACAAAUUAUA